RNAcentral lists this ribosomal RNA (404 nucleotides) under uncultured bacterium. RNAcentral describes it as "bacterial SSU rRNA". It matches the Rfam family "Bacterial small subunit ribosomal RNA", at positions 355 to 776 of the family's 1533-position model. The record is from RNAcentral.
UGGGGAAUAUUGGACAAUGGGCGCAAGCCUGAUCCAGCCAUGCCGCGUGAGUGAUGAAGGCCUUAGGGUUGUAAAGCUCUUUCACCGGUGAAGAUAAUGACGGUAACCGGAGAAGAAGCCCCGGCUAACUUCGUGCCAGCAGCCGCGGUAAUACGAAGGGGGCUAGCGUUGUUCGGAUUUACUGGGCGUAAAGCGCACGUAGGCGGAUUGGUCAGUUAGGGGUGAAAUCCCGGAGCUCAACUCCGGAACUGCCUUUAAUACUGCCAAUCUAGAGACCGAGAGAGGUAAGUGGAACUCCUAGUGUAGAGGUGGAAUUCGUAGAUAUUAGGAAGAACACCAGUGGCGAAGGCGGCUUACUGGCUCGGAACUGACGCUGAGGUGCGAAAGCGUGGGGAGCAAACAGG